Molecule: long non-coding RNA, 233 nt
Filed under: Sorghum bicolor (sorghum)
Lineage: Eukaryota; Viridiplantae; Streptophyta; Magnoliopsida; Poales; Poaceae
Description: long non-coding RNA (SBIC_LNC010741)
Source: RNAcentral
GAUAACUCAAAUUCCACACCUAUUAUUGAAUUUUUUGCACCUUCGGAGACCAGCCAUAGACCAUGGGAGUCAAUAAGUCCUUUCUUUGCCCCUAAUUAUGAUCUGUGUCCGGAGUUGAUUGCAAUAGGUCAAAUCCAACCCUUUUCUAUAGCUGAGCUCCUAUCUUUUAAUCGAGAAGAUAAUGAACUUUUAGCUACACCUAGGGAAUCUUUUAAUCUUUCUAUAAAUUCUGG